ACGUAGGUGGCAAGCGUUGUCCGGAAUCACUGGGCGUAAAGCGCGCGCAGGCGGCGAUCUACGUCUGGGGUGAAAGCCCGGAGCUCAACUCCGGGACUGCCUUGGAUACGGGAUCGCUUGAGGAUUGGAGAGGCAAGGGGAAUUCCACGUGUAGCGGUGAAAUGCGUAGAUAUGUGGAGGAACACCUGUGGCGAAGGCGCCUUGCUGGCCAAUUUCUGACGCUGAGGCGCGAAAGCGUGGGGAGCAAACAGG
Molecule: ribosomal RNA, 252 nt
Filed under: uncultured Tumebacillus sp.
Lineage: Bacteria; Bacillati; Bacillota; Bacilli; Caryophanales; Alicyclobacillaceae
Description: partial 16S ribosomal RNA
Rfam family: Bacterial small subunit ribosomal RNA
Source: RNAcentral